This 435-nucleotide ribosomal RNA is filed under the name uncultured bacterium. Its description in RNAcentral is "partial 16S ribosomal RNA". It matches the Rfam family "Bacterial small subunit ribosomal RNA", at positions 29 to 506 of the family's 1533-position model. The record is from RNAcentral.
AACGAACGCUGGCGGCAUGCCUAACACAUGCAAGUCGAACGAUGGUCUUCGGAUCAUAGUGGCGCACGGGUGCGUAACGCGUGGGAAUCUGCCCUUGGGUUCGGAAUAACAGUUGGAAACGACUGCUAAUACCGGAUGAUGUCGAUAAGACCAAAGAUUUAUCGCCCGAGGAUGAGCCCGCGUCGGAUUAGCUAGUUGGUGGGGUAAAGGCCUACCAAGGCGACGAUCCGUAGCUGGUCUGAGAGGAUGAUCAGCCACACUGGGACUGAGACACGGCCCAGACUCCUACGGGAGGCAGCAGUGGGGAAUAUUGGACAAUGGGCGCAAGCCUGAUCCAGCAAUGCCGCGUGAGUGAUGAAGGCCUUAGGGUUGUAAAGCUCUUUUACCCGGGAAGAUAAUGACUGUACCGGGAGAAUAAGCCCCGGCUAACUCCGU